AGUCAACGCUGGCGGCGUGCCUAACACAUGCAAGUCGAGCGAGAAAAGGGGAGCAAUCCUCUGAGUACAGCGGCGCACGGGUGAGUAACACGUGGGUAAUCUGCCCUAGAGUGGGGAAUAACACCGGGAAACCGGUGCUAAUACCGCAUACGAUCACAAGGUCGGCGGAGUUUGUGAUGAAAGGAGCAAUUCGCUCCAGGAGGAGCCCGCGGCUGAUUAGCUAGUUGGUGAGGUAACGGCUCACCAAGGCAACGAUCAGUAUCCGGUCUGAGAGGGCGGCCGGACACACUGGAACUGAGACACGGUCCAGACUCCUACGGGAGGCAGCAGUGGGGAAUUUUUGGCAAUGGGGGAAACCCUGACCAAGCAACGCCGCGUGGGUGAUGAAGUCUCUUGGGACGUAAGACCCUUUCGACGGGGAAGAAACCGCAAGGUUGACGGUACCCGUAGAAGAAGCCCCGGCUAACUCCGUGCCAGCCGCCGCAGUAA
Molecule: ribosomal RNA, 489 nt
Filed under: uncultured bacterium
Lineage: Bacteria
Description: partial 16S ribosomal RNA
Rfam family: Bacterial small subunit ribosomal RNA
Source: RNAcentral